CAGGUAGGACUUACCCGCUGAACUUAAGCAUAUCAU
This 36-nucleotide ribosomal RNA is filed under the name Laccaria sp. Its description in RNAcentral is "partial 28S ribosomal RNA". The record is from RNAcentral. Lineage: Eukaryota; Fungi; Basidiomycota; Agaricomycetes; Agaricales; Hydnangiaceae.